AGAGUUUGAUCCUGGCUCAGCCUGAACGCUGGCGGCGUGGCUAAGACAUGCAAGUCGAACGGUGUAGCAAUACACAGUGGCGGACGGGUGAGUAAUGUAUCGCUAAUGUACCCCGGAGCCAGGGAUAGCUGCCCGGAAGGGCAGGUAAUACCUGAUGAUAUACCUUGGUCGCAUGGCCGAGGUCUCAAAGCAGCAAUGCACUCUGGGCGCAGGCGAUAUCGUAUCAGCUAGUUGGUGAGGUAACGGCUCACCAAGGCGACGACGCGUAGCUGGUCUGAGAGGACGACCAGCCACAUCGGGACUGAGACACUGCCCGGACUCCUACGGGGGGCUGCAGUAACGAAUCUUCCACAAUGCACGAAAGUGUGAUGGAGCGACGCCGCGUGUAGG
Molecule: ribosomal RNA, 390 nt
Filed under: uncultured bacterium
Lineage: Bacteria
Description: bacterial SSU rRNA
Rfam family: Bacterial small subunit ribosomal RNA
Source: RNAcentral